AUUGAACGCUGGCGGCAUGCCUUACACAUGCCAGUCGAACGGCAGCACGGGUGCUUGCACCUGGUGGCGAGUGGCGAACGGGUGAGUAAUACAUCGGAACAUGUCCUGUAGUGGGGGAUAGCGCGGCGAAAGCCGGAUUAAUACCGCAUACGAUCCACGGAUGAAAGCGGGGGACCUUCGGGCCUCGCGCUAUAGGGUUGGCCGAUGGCUGAUUAGCUAGAUGGUGGGGUAAAGGCCUACCAAGGCGACGAUCAGUAGCCGGUCUGAGAGGACGACCAGCCACACUGGGACAGAGACACGGCCCAGACUCCUACGGGAGGCAGCAGUGGGGAAUUUUGGACAAUGGGCGAAAGCCUGAUCCAGCAAUGCCGCGUGUGUGAAGAAGGCCUUCGGGUUGUAAAGCACUUUUGUCCGGAAAGAAAUCCUUGACUCUAAUACAGUCGGGGGAUGACGGUACCGGAAGAAUAAGCACCGGCUAACUACG
Molecule: ribosomal RNA, 484 nt
Filed under: uncultured bacterium
Lineage: Bacteria
Description: partial 16S ribosomal RNA
Rfam family: Bacterial small subunit ribosomal RNA
Source: RNAcentral